Molecule: ribosomal RNA, 188 nt
Filed under: Enterobacter hormaechei
Lineage: Bacteria; Pseudomonadati; Pseudomonadota; Gammaproteobacteria; Enterobacterales; Enterobacteriaceae
Description: partial 23S ribosomal RNA
Rfam family: Bacterial large subunit ribosomal RNA
Source: RNAcentral
GGUUAAGCGACUAAGCGUACACGGUGGAUGCCCUGGCAGUCAGAGGCGAUGAAGGACGUGCUAAUCUGCGAAAAGCGCCGGCGAGGUGAUAUGAACCCUUGACCCGGCGAUGUCCGAAUGGGGAAACCCAGUGUGUUCCGACACACUAUCGUUAACUGAAUACAUAGGUUAACGAGGCGAACCGGGGG